RNAcentral lists this non-coding RNA (45 nucleotides) under Schistosoma margrebowiei. The record is from RNAcentral. Lineage: Eukaryota; Metazoa; Platyhelminthes; Trematoda; Strigeidida; Schistosomatidae.
GCGUAACUGAUGAGUCCCAAAUAGGACGAAACAAGUGUCCUGGAU